Molecule: long non-coding RNA, 760 nt
Organism: Eucalyptus grandis
Lineage: Eukaryota; Viridiplantae; Streptophyta; Magnoliopsida; Myrtales; Myrtaceae
Exons: 2
Source: RefSeq, a predicted model, not a curated record
UUUACUGCGAUGGCUCUCCGAACUUGCUUGGCCCUCUCGGGGCAUCACCUUGUCUUCCAGCUUCGACCCUUUCUAUUCCCUCCUUCUCAAAUACUAUUCCUCAUUUACGAUCACCAAACCUCGCGUUCCGACUCAGAAUCACAGUGUCCUCGCGCGCAAUUUUCGGUCUUUUCCCACGAGGACGACACGUUCUUGCCAUCGCCUGGGUUGUGGUUUCAUUCUUCACUUGGUUUGUGGGGAUCGCAAUGGCUGAAAUCUGCUCCUCUUUCCCAAUGACUGGUUCCCUUUAUUUUUGGGCUGCCCAUCUUGCCAGUCCCACUUGGGGUCCAAUUGCUUCAUGGUGUUGCACUUGACUUGAAGCCAUGUAGGCCUCAUUUGGCAUCGAUACUCUGGAGGAUUCCAUAUUCUGUUUGCUUCUUGUUCUGUUUCAUGUUGCAUUACUGCUUGGAAGUAUCUAUCAUGGUGAGUGAAUUGAUCCCAUGAGUGGUUUCGGGAGGCAUAUGCAGGAUCACAAACCCUUCAGCGCAUCAUAUUAUUGUGCACUGGCACAAACAAAGAUGCCAGCUACCUUGCGCCAAAGUGGUUCUGACACAUUCAUGCUUGAAGUAAUUGCCUUCAUCGAAAUAAUCUCAAUGUGGUGGCAGGUGUAUUAAAAAACUCGAGCAUUUUCUAUUAGAAACUUAAUGUAUUAAUAGUUUGUGUGGACCAUUAAGUGACCUAUGAGAUUAAUUUCAAUUACUAAUCAAAGCUUCAUUUCCUU